This is a long non-coding RNA of Oncorhynchus tshawytscha (Chinook salmon), 3319 nucleotides long. NCBI's taxonomy places the organism in Eukaryota, Metazoa, Chordata, Actinopteri, Salmoniformes, Salmonidae. The record is from Ensembl.
UUUGGUGGUGAUGAGAUACGGUCUGACCUGUAGUAACUUCUAGAGUUUGGUGUUGAUGAGAUACGGUCUGACCUGUAAUACGGUCUGACCUGUAGUAACCUCUAGAGUUUGGUGUUAACGGGUUACCCCAAUGCAUCCCAAAUGGCACCCUAUUCCCUUGAUGGUGCACUACUUGUGUGCACUACGUAGGGAAUAGGGUGCCAUCGUUGACACCACCAUGGUCUCUCUCUAUCUCUUCCUAGAAGACGGAUGCUUCAGUUAAGCCCUAAGGCAUUCAGCAGGUGAAAGGUUCCAAACUGAACCCAGCAGCACCUAGCACUCAACUUGCUUCAAUCGACUUGCUUCAACGGGGCAAUUUAAGGUGUUAAGUUAACUGCCUUUUUUUUAAUACCAGACGCCAAGUACAUGGAGUCAAACAUACUUUGACAUUGACGCACAAGUACAAAGUCCACAACUAGUGAAUCUCCUGAAAAGAGAGAGGAGAUUGAAAACUAUUGAAUCUCCUGAAAAGACAGAGAGGAGAUUGAAAACUAUUGAAUCUCCUGAAAGAGAGAGAGGAGAUUGAAAACUAUUGAAUCUCCUGAAAAGAGAGAGAGGAGAUUGAAAACUAUUGAAUCUCCUGAAAAGACAGAGAGGAGAUUGAAAACUAUUGAAUCUCCUGAAAAGAGAGAGAGGAGAUUGAAAACUAUUGAAUCUCCUGAAAAGACAGAGAGGAGAUUGAAAACUAUUGAAUCUCCUGAAAAGAGAGAGGAGAUUGAAAACUAUUGAAUCUCCUGAAAAGAGAGAGAGGAGAUUGAAAACUAUUGAAUCUCCUGAAAAGACAGAGAGGAGAUUGAAAACUAUUGAAUCUCCUGAAAAGAGAGAGAGGAGAUUGAAAACUAUUGAAUCUCCUGAAAAGAGAGAGAGGAGAUUGAAAACUAUUGAAAACUCUCUGGAACUAAUUUUAGUCUAUGCAAACAGUGUUUGGGAUUCCAGACUAGAGGAGCCCCUCAAAUGGCAUCAUAUUCCCUACGUAGUGCACUACUUUAGACCAGGGUCUAUAGGGUAGUAGUGCACUACUUUAGACCAGGGUCUAUAGGGUAGUAGUGCACUACUUUAGACCAGGGUCUAUAGGGUAGUAGUGCACUACUUUAGACCAGGGUGCAUACAGCUCAGCUCAAAAGCAGUGCACUACAUAGGGAAUAGGGUACCGUUAGGAACGAAGCCUAGGAAUGCUCAUGUUGUUUAUUGCCUUUUUAUAGCCUAGAUAGUGAGGACUGAGGUUUUGCACUAGAAUCUCUCUGCGGGGUUUUUAAUGCAGAGGGGUAAGUAACUACGCCACUAAUAUCAACGGAUGCUUCCUGCCCAUCUGCCUAUAAACAGCACUGCCAAUCAUUAUGAAAUGAUGAGUCCACCGAGUUAAUUCACUAAUUCCCAGACAGUACUUUCAGAAUGGGAUCUACUUCCUCAUCUAAUUCACUGUGUCCCAGACAGUACUUUCAGAAUGGGAUCCACUUCCUCAUCUAAUUCACUGUGUCCCAGACAGUACUUUCAGAAUGGGAUCCACUUCCUCAUCUAAUUCACUGUGUCCCAGACAGUACUUUCAGAAUGGGAUCCACUUCCUCAUCUAAUUCACUGUGUCCCAGACAGUACUUUCAGAAUGGGAUCCACUUCUCAUCUAAUUCACUGUGUCCCAGACAGUACUUUCGUAAUGGGGGAUCCACUUCCUCAUCUAAUUCACUGUGUCCCAGACAGUACUUUCAGAAUGGGAUCCACUUCCUCAUCUAAUUCACUGUGUCCCAGACAGUACUUUCAGAAUGGAUCCACUUCCUCAUCUAAUUCACUGUGUCCCAGACAGUACUUUCAGAAUGGGGGAUCCACUUCAUAAUCUAAUUCACUGUGUCCUAGACAGUACUUUCAGAAUGGGAUCUACUUCCUCAUCUAAUUCACUGUGUCCCAGACAGUACUUUCAGAAUGGAUCCACUUCCUCAUCUAAUUCACUGUGUCCCAGACAGUACUUUCAGAAUGGAUCCACUUCCUCAUCUAAUUCACUGUGUCCCAGACAGUACUUUCAGAAUGGAUCCACUUCCUCAUCUAAUUCAUGGUGUCCCAGACAGUACUUUCAGAAUGGGAUCCACUUCUCAUCUAAUUCACUGUGUCCCAGACAGUACUGUCUGAAUGGCUCCACUUCUCAUCUGUGGGAAUAACUAGCUAUACUGUUACAGAUGUGACAGACCAUGCAUGUGUUUUAAAGGUCUGACACAGAGCCAUACUUAGACCCAGGCUAAAUAUAUGGUGUCUGGUUCUACAAAUGCUGUCUAUUUCUGGUCUCACAGACAGUCACUGUCAGUCCCUAGUCCCUCCUCCCACAGACAGUCACUAUGUGUCCCUAGUCCCCUCCUCCACAGACAACAGUCACUGUGUGUCCCUAGUCCCUCCUCCUCUACAGACAGUCACUGUGGGUUCCUAGUCCCUCGUUCCUCUACAGACAGUCACUGUGUGUCCCUAGUCCCUCGUUCCACUACAGACAGUCACUGUGUGUCCCUAGUCCCUCCUCCUCUACAGACAUUCACUGUGUGUCCCUAGUCCCUCCUCCUCUACAGACAGUCACUAUGUGUCCCUAGUUCCUCGUUCCUCUGCAUUCCUCUGCAUACUGUGUAGUUCACCAGGACUUCUCCUGAAAGGUCUGGGUCUGCUGUUUCACACACACUGGGUGUGUUCCAGGUGGUCUGUUUUGCAGUCAUGCUGCACAUCUCAGAAGAUUUCAAUAUGUAAUAUUUAUGAGCUGCCUGAGAUGUUAAAAAAACCUCUCCAGGAACGCACCCACACCUAAUACUGUAAACAUGUCUGUGUGUUUUCUGCAGUUUCCUUCCUCAAUGCUAAUACUGUAAACAUGUCUGUGUGUUUUCUGCAGUUUCCUUCCUCAAUGCUAAUACUGUAAACAUGUCUGUCUGUUUUCUACAGUUUCCUUCCUCAAUGCUAAUACUGUAAACAUGUACUGUGUGUUUUCUGCAGUUUCCUUCCAGCCCUACCACAGUGAGGCACGUUGUUAGCUCAACACAACAAUGUAAAUAUUGUGUAACGUAAAAGUGUCAGGGAUUCACGGUAAACAUUCCUCUGACGCAUUGUGAUGCAUGCUAUACAUACGUACUGUAACUAGGGUGUAUUUUUGGUGUACUUUUCUGUUUUGUUAUAUAAUAUGAAAUGUAUGAGGAUAACAAUAAUAGCUUAUUAAAUAUAAUUCUGAGGAACAAAAGUGACAAUUUAUAUUUUCUACAUUUUUUGUGUUUGUUUAUGUGUGCAUAGAGGUAUCUCUACUAUCAUCAGUGGUAUCUCUACU